Molecule: long non-coding RNA, 957 nt
Filed under: Rattus norvegicus (Norway rat)
Lineage: Eukaryota; Metazoa; Chordata; Mammalia; Rodentia; Muridae
Description: long non-coding RNA NONRATT011828
Source: RNAcentral
GGAGGCAGAGAAGGCUGCUGACGAGAGUGAGAGAGGCAUGAAGGUGAUAGAGAACCGAGCCAUGAAAGACGAGGAAAAGAUGGAGAUCCAGGAGAUGCAACUCAAAGAAGCCAAGCACAUCGCUGAGGAGGCUGACCGGAAGUAUGAGGAGGUUGCUCGUAAGUUGGUCAUCCUGGAGGGUGAGCUGGAGAGAGCAGAGGAGCGGGCGGAGGUGUCUGAACUAAAGAGUAGCGACCUGGAAGAGGAGCUCAAGAACGUAACUAACAAUCUGAAAUCACUGGAGGCUGCUUCUGAAAAGUACUCUGAAAAGGAGGAUAAAUAUGAAGAAGAAAUCAAGCUUCUGUCUGACAAACUGAAAGAGGCUGAGACCCGAGCUGAGUUUGCGGAAAGGACAGUUUCUAAACUGGAGAAGACAAUCGAUGACCUGGAAGGUAGGAAUCUCCAUUUUCCUAAGUGACAUGAAAGUUGAGUGAGGAGGUCUGUGGAGGGACAGAGCUGUGCUUUGUUUCCAGAGUGAGGUCUUCAGAAUUCUCACAGAGAUGCCUUGCAUAUUUUAAAUGCCUCCAGUUCUUGCUGGCCUCUCUCCCAGAGGCAGGGCUUAUCUUAGUGUGAGGAAAGAGAAAAAAGGAGGCUGCAGGACCUCAGUUCCCCAGGGAACACAACUCAGCAUUUCCUGAAGUGACUGUGUUACUCUUCAUGAUAGAGCAUGGAAAUUCCAGACGCUUAGGGCUGGGAUCCUCCAGGCUGUCUCAUCCAGGAAGGGAGACUCAUUCUUUACAUCUUUGUCCAUAUAAGGGAAAAUGCUCCAUUCCGAAGGAUGACUUAUGGCAGGGUGAUUAAGCUCUCAGAAGCCAUCUUGGCCCCGGGGAGAUGGCAGUGGGGUUAUUUAUCUUGAAACGGGUCUUAAGAGUGUGAACCAGGCCAGGCUUGCCUCUGCCUCCCAUAUGCUGGGAUUAA